This 445-nucleotide ribosomal RNA is filed under the name uncultured Anaerolineae bacterium. RNAcentral's name for it is "bacterial SSU rRNA". It matches the Rfam family "Bacterial small subunit ribosomal RNA", at positions 335 to 796 of the family's 1533-position model. Lineage: Bacteria; Bacillati; Chloroflexota; Anaerolineae. The record is from RNAcentral.
UUUCCUACGGGGGGCAGCAGUAAGGAAUAUUGCACAAUGGGGGAAACCUUGAUGCAGCAACGCCGCGUGCGCGAAGAAGGCCUUCGGGUCGUAAAGCGCUUUUUCAGGGGAAGAGGAAGGACAGUACCCUGGGAAUAAGUCUCGGCUAACUACGUGCCAGCAGCCGCGGUAAGACGUAGGAGGCGAGCGUUAUCCGGAUUUACUGGGCGUAAAGGGCAAGUAGGCGGCGGCAGAAGUUGUGCGUGAAAUCUCCCGGCUCAACUGGGAGGGAGCGUGCAAAACUGGGUCGCUAGAGGGCAGAAGAGGAGAGCAGAAUUUCUGGUGUAGCGGUGGAAUGCUCAGAUACCAGAAGGAAUACCAGUGGCGAAGGCGGCUCUCUGGUCUGAACCUGACGCUGAGAGGCGAAAGCUAGGGGAGCGAACGGGAUUAGAUACCCGGGUAGUCU